AAUAGAUACCCAGGUAGUCCACGCCCUAAACGAUGUCAACUAGUUGUUCGGUGAGGAGACUCAUUGAGUAACGCAGCUAACGCGUGAAGUUGACCGCCUGGGGAGUACGGCCGCAAGGUUAAAACUCAAAGGAAUUGACGGGGACCCGCACAAGCGGUGGAUGAUGUGGAUUAAUUCGAUGCAACGCGAAAAACCUUACCUACCCUUGACAUGCCAGGAACUUGCCAGAGAUGGCUUGGUGCCCGAAAGGGAGCCUGGACACAGGUGCUGCAUGGCUGUCGUCAGCUCGUGUCGUGAGAUGUUGGGUUAAGUCCCGCAACGAGCGCAACCCUUGUCAUUAGUUGCCAUCAUUAAGUUGGGCACUCUAAUGAGACUGCCGGUGACAAACCGGAGGAAGGUGGGGAUGACGUCAAGUCCUCAUGGCCCUUAUGGGUAGGGCUUCACACGUCAUACAAUGGUCGGUACAGAGGGUUGCCAAGCCGCGAGGUGGAGCCAAUCCCAGAAAGCCGAUCGUAGUCCGGA
This 522-nucleotide ribosomal RNA is filed under the name uncultured bacterium. Its description in RNAcentral is "bacterial SSU rRNA". It matches the Rfam family "Bacterial small subunit ribosomal RNA", at positions 777 to 1297 of the family's 1533-position model. The record is from RNAcentral.